This 97-nucleotide transfer RNA is filed under the name Trametes sanguinea. RNAcentral's name for it is "tRNA-Ser". It matches the Rfam family "tRNA". From Rfam's summary of the family: Transfer RNA (tRNA) molecules are approximately 80 nucleotides in length. RNAcentral also lists the same sequence under 1 other name. The record is from RNAcentral. Lineage: Eukaryota; Fungi; Basidiomycota; Agaricomycetes; Polyporales; Polyporaceae.
GACACUAUAGCCAAGUGGUUAAGGCGACAGAUUAGAAUCGUGCGAGCGAAUUAUCUGUUUCCCUCUGGGAGCGUAGGUUCGAACCCUACUGGUGUCG